This 448-nucleotide ribosomal RNA is filed under the name uncultured bacterium. Its description in RNAcentral is "bacterial SSU rRNA". It matches the Rfam family "Bacterial small subunit ribosomal RNA", at positions 328 to 793 of the family's 1533-position model. The record is from RNAcentral.
UUGCCAGACUCCUACGGGAGGCAGCAGUGGGGAAUAUUGCACAAUGGGGGAAACCCUGAUGCAGCGACGCCGCGUGAGUGAAGAAGUCUUUCGGUAUGUAAAGCUCUAUCAGCAGGGAAGAAGUUGACGGUACCUGGGUAAGAAGCCCCGGCUAACUACGUGCCAGCAGCCGCGGUAAUACGUAGGGGGCAAGCGUUAUCCGGAUUUACUGGGUGUAAAGGGAGCGUAGACGGCAGUGCAAGUCUGAAGUGAAAGCCCCGGGCUUAACCCGGGAAUUGCUUUGGAAACUGUACGGCUGGAGUGCUGGAGAGGUAAGCGGAAUUCCUAGUGUAGCGGUGAAAUGCGUAGAUAUUAGGAGGAACACCAGUGGCGAAGGCGGCUUACUGGACAGUAACUGACGUUGAGGCUCGAAAGCGUGGGGAGCAAACAGGAUUAGAUACCCUAGUAA